Molecule: long non-coding RNA, 1170 nt
Filed under: Capsicum annuum
Lineage: Eukaryota; Viridiplantae; Streptophyta; Magnoliopsida; Solanales; Solanaceae
Description: long non-coding RNA (CANN_LNC008720)
Source: RNAcentral
AUAGAAAUCACAAACAAUGUAAUCACUAAUUUAUCAUCUCUUGCAAAAAAAAACUAAUUUUUUUUAUUCAAAAAGAUGAAUAUUGUAAUUCUUUUGGAGGCAUUUAGGUGUCUGGUAAUCCGAAAAUACAAUAAGAACGAUACAAAAGGUGUCAAAAUUAUAAUUGAAAAUAUUUUGUGUUUGAGGUUGAUAUAUGCAAUUGCGGCUGAAUUAGAGAUUGAGGAAUUCUAUAUAAAUAACAUAAAUCCCAAGAUAUAUAUAACCUAAUGGGUGUAGAUUUUUAUGUUAAUGGAGAAAUUCCUCUAUUUUGUUACUAGUGCUAUCCAUGGCAAAGAAGAAAGGGGAAAAAAUCUGUCUGUUCAUUGUAAUGUAUGAUUUUUUUUGUGUGGAUAGCUUCUUCUUCUUGUAGUUUCUUCUUUAUUAAUGAUUGCUCACUCUCUCUAUUAUUAUUGUUAAUUGAAUUUUGAAGGAAGAAAAAAUGGUGUUCUAUUACUUUUAAUGGAGGAAGAAAAAAAUGUGUUAAUCCUUAAUUCUCCUUUGUUUUUCCUCUAUUUUCUAGUUUAUCUCCCAUUUAUUACUGUGUAUAUUCUCUCCUUAAUGAUUGUUUUCUUUUUCUUGACUUUAUUUAUGUAUAUUUAUAUCUUUAUUUUUUUAUUCUCGUUUUGUAAAAGGUGAAAAAAAAUUGUAGUCAGAGAUGUGUAUUUGCAAAAUUCAGCUAUGUAUAUAUUUGUCUGUUUUUUUUUUUCAACACACCAUUUGCAUAAUUAUUCAGGAACAAUUUUUAUUGUUGAAUAAUUUUUAUUUUGGGACAACAUAUACAUAUCAUCAGUAUAUGUUGAUAUAUAAAACAUAUGACAACGUUAAAAAUAUAGAGUUAUUAUGUAAAUGAAAACACAUAGAAAACAACUUAUGUAUUGUAAAUAUUUAUACCAAUAUAUACAUAAUCGAACUAUAUAUAUACAAACAUAUAUGUGUAGUAAAAAACUUCUAAAAUAUUAGAUAUACUAAUUAUAUUUAGUUUGUCUAUUUCAGCUAUGUCCUUCGAUGAUACACCGAUAUAUAAAAGACAACUGGAAAGCCUAGAAAAGGAAGAAAGAAGAAAUCAAGCGAAAGUCUUUCAUCAAGCACAAAUCGUUGUGGACGAUGCAGGAAUGAGGGUCACAAUAGGCG